RNAcentral lists this ribosomal RNA (884 nucleotides) under Pseudomonas sp. RNAcentral describes it as "bacterial SSU rRNA". Lineage: Bacteria; Pseudomonadati; Pseudomonadota; Gammaproteobacteria; Pseudomonadales; Pseudomonadaceae. The record is from RNAcentral.
ACUACGUACGUUCUAUGCGUCCUGCAGUCGAGCGGAUGAGAGUCUUUUACGGCAGACGGGUGAGUAAUGCCUAGGAAUCUGCCUGGUAGUGGGGGAUAACGUUCCGAAAGGAACGCUAAUACCGCAUACGUCCUACGGCAGAAAGCAGGGGACCUUCAGGCCUUGCACUAUCACAUGAGCCUAUGUCGGAUUAGCUAGUUGGUGAGGUAAUGGCCCAGGCGACGAUCCCUAUCUGGUCUGAGAGGAUGAUCAGUCACACUGGAACUGAWACWCRGACCAGACUCCUACUGGAGGCAGCAGUGGGGAAUAUUGAACAAUGGGCGAAAGCCUGAUCCAGCCAUGCCGCGUGUGUGAAGAAGGUCUUCGGAUUGUAAAGCACUUUAAGUUGGGAGGAAGGGCAUUAACCUAAUACUUUAGUGUUUUGACGUUACCAACACAAUAAGCACCGGCUAACUUCCUGCCAGCUUCCGCGGUAAUACAAAGGGUGCAAGCGUUAAUCGGAAUUACUGGGCUUAAACCGCGCGUACGUGGUUCGUGAAGUUGSAUGUGAAAUCCCCGGGCUCAACCUGGGAACUGCAUCCUCAACUGGCGAGCUAGAGUACGGUAUAGGGUAGUGGAAUUUCCUGUGUAGCGGUGAAAUGCAUAGAUAUAUAGAAGGAACACCAGUGCCGAAGGCGACUACCUGCACUGAUACUGACACUGAUGUGCGAAAGCGUGGCGAGCAAAGGGAUUAGAUACCCUGGUAAUCCACGCCGUACACGAUAUCAACUAGCCUUUGGGUUCCUUGAGAACUUUCUGGCCCACCUAACGCAUUACGUUGACCGCCUGGGGAGUACGGGCCCCCCCGUUAAAACUCAAAUGAAUUGACUUGGGCCCGCACAAGC